CCUACGGGAGGCAGCAGUGGGGAAUAUUGCACAAUGGAGGAGACCCUGAUGCAGCGACGCAGCGUGAAUGAAGACUGAUCUCGGGGUUUAAAGCUCUAUCAACAGAGGAAUAAAACGACGGUACCUGACUAAGUUGCACCGGCUAAAUACAUGCCAACCGCCGAGGUACUACGUAGGGGGCAAGCGUUAUCCGGAUUUACUGGGUGUAAAGGGAGCGUAGACGGCGCGGCAAGUCUGAAGUGAAAGGCAGCGGCUUAACCCCUGAACUGCUAUGGAAACUGCCAGGCUAGAGUGCAGCAGAGGUAAGUGGAAUUCCUAGUGUAGCGGUGAAAUGCGUAGAUAUCAGGAGGAACCCCAGUGGCGAAGGCGGCUUACUGGACAGUAACUGACGUUGAUGCUCGAAAGUGUGGGUAGCAAACAGGAUUAGAUACCCGGGUAGUC
This 441-nucleotide ribosomal RNA is filed under the name uncultured bacterium. RNAcentral describes it as "partial 16S ribosomal RNA". It matches the Rfam family "Bacterial small subunit ribosomal RNA", at positions 338 to 795 of the family's 1533-position model. The record is from RNAcentral.